This 20-nucleotide non-coding RNA is filed under the name Arabidopsis thaliana (thale cress). The record is from RNAcentral. RNAcentral also lists the same sequence under 2 other names. Lineage: Eukaryota; Viridiplantae; Streptophyta; Magnoliopsida; Brassicales; Brassicaceae.
AGGAGUGUGUAACAACUCAC